GACAGCAGUCGCCGCGGUAAUACGAACCGUGCGAACGUUAUUCGGAAUCACUGGGCUUAAAGCGUGCGUAGGUGGUGGUUUAAGUCCGUUGUGAAAGCCCUGGGCUCAACCUGGGAAUUGCAGUGGAUACUGGAUCACUAGAGUGUGGUAGAGGAUAGUGGAAUUUCCGGUGUAGCAGUGAAAUGCGUAGAGAUCGGAAGGAACAUCUGUGGCGAAGGCGACUAUCUGGGCCAACACUGACACUGAGGCACGAAAGCGUGGGGAGCAAACAGGAUUAGAUACCCGGGUAGUCCCUGUCUCUUAUAC
This 306-nucleotide ribosomal RNA is filed under the name uncultured bacterium. RNAcentral's name for it is "partial 16S ribosomal RNA". It matches the Rfam family "Bacterial small subunit ribosomal RNA", at positions 507 to 807 of the family's 1533-position model. The record is from RNAcentral.